CGCCAUCUUGUCAGGUCAGUGCUGGGCGCCCGUCACCCUCGGCGGGUCUGGCCUUCCCGGCGGCCGAUCUCCAUCCCUGCGCUAACCUCUUUCCGAUCUUUUUCUUUCCAGGGCCCGUCCCGCCAUGAGAGCUAAGUGGAGAAAGAAGCGAAUGCGCAGGCUGAAGCGCAAGCGGAGAAAGAUGAGGCAGAGGUCGAAGUAAACGCCGCCGGACCCCACCGGAGCAAGAUGGGGAGCCGGAGCGGGACCUCGCCGCCGGGCAACCGGCUGGAUCCUCCCGGCUCCGUCCGAACGGGGCUCGGGCCACCGGACCCCCCCCCCGCCUCGUAACAUCGCUCCUCGGGCUCGCCACUCUGGACUGCCAUCGUCUCCGCCUUCCCCCGAGGCGACUGUAGCGCGGGAACAAUAAAUCGUUGGCACCGCGGUGCGAAAUUCCA
Ornithorhynchus anatinus (platypus) is the source of this 437-nucleotide long non-coding RNA. RefSeq lists it as uncharacterized. The transcript has 3 exons. The record is from RefSeq and is a predicted model, not a curated record. NCBI's taxonomy places the organism in Eukaryota, Metazoa, Chordata, Mammalia, Monotremata, Ornithorhynchidae.